GGAGAGGUGACCGAGCGGCCGAAGGUGCAGCACUGGAAAUGCUGUGUACCCCACGGGUACCGGGGGUUCGAAUCCCCCCCUCUCCGCCA
Molecule: transfer RNA, 89 nt
Filed under: Lentisphaerota bacterium
Lineage: Bacteria; Pseudomonadati; Lentisphaerota
Also listed under: 1 other name
Description: Lentisphaerae bacterium (anaerobic digester metagenome) tRNA-Ser
Rfam family: tRNA
About the family: Transfer RNA (tRNA) molecules are approximately 80 nucleotides in length.
Source: RNAcentral